AGGGAAUCUUCCGCAAUGGGCGAAAGCCUGACGGAGCAACGCCGCGUGAAUGAUGAAGGUCUUCGGAUCGUAAAACUCUGUUAUUAGGGAAGAACAAAUGUGUAAGUAACUAUGCACGUCUUGACGGUACCUAAUCAGAAAGCCACGGCUAACUACGUGCCAGCAGCCGCGGUAAUACGUAGGUGGCAAGCGUUAUCCGGAAUUAUUGGGCGUAAAGCGCGCGUAGGCGGUUUUUUAAGUCUGAUGUGAAAGCCCACGGCUCAACCGUGGAGGGUCAUUGGAAACUGGAAAACUUGAGUGCAGAAGAGGAAAGUGGAAUUCCAUGUGUAGCGGUGAAAUGCGCAGAGAUAUGGAGGAACACCAGUGGCGAAGGCGACUUUCUGGUCUGUAACUGACGCUGAUGUGCGAAAGCGUGGGGAUCAAACAGGAUUAGAUACCCUGGUAGUCCACGCCGUAAACGAUGAGUGCUAAGUGUUAGGGGGUUUCCGCCCCUUAGUGCUGCAGCUAACGCAUUAAGCACUCCGCCUGGGGAGUACGACCGCAAGGUUG
Molecule: ribosomal RNA, 549 nt
Filed under: uncultured bacterium
Lineage: Bacteria
Description: bacterial SSU rRNA
Rfam family: Bacterial small subunit ribosomal RNA
Source: RNAcentral